RNAcentral lists this ribosomal RNA (614 nucleotides) under uncultured bacterium. RNAcentral's name for it is "bacterial SSU rRNA". It matches the Rfam family "Bacterial small subunit ribosomal RNA", at positions 8 to 670 of the family's 1533-position model. The record is from RNAcentral.
AGAGUUUGAUCAUGGCUCAGAACGAACGCUGGCGGCAGGCUUAACACAUGCAAGUCGAACGCCCCGCAAGGGGAGUGGCAGACGGGUGAGUAACGCGUGGGAACGUACCCUUUACUACGGAAUAACUCAGGGAAACUUGUGCUAAUACCGUAUGUGCCCUUCGGGGGAAAGAUUUAUCGGUAAAGGAUCGGCCCGCGUUGGAUUAGCUAGUUGGUGGGGUAAAGGCCUACCAAGGCGACGAUCCAUAGCUGGUCUGAGAGGAUGAUCAGCCACAUUGGGACUGAGACACGGCCCAAACUCCUACGGGAGGCAGCAGUGGGGAAUAUUGGACAAUGGGCGCAAGCCUGAUCCAGCCAUGCCGCGUGAGUGAUGAAGGCCCUAGGGUUGUAAAGCUCUUUCACCGGUGAAGAUAAUGACGGUAACCGGAGAAGAAGCCCCGGCUAACUUCGUGCCAGCAGCCGCGGUAAUACGAAGGGGGCUAGCGUUGUUCGGAAUUACUGGGCGUAAAGCGCACGUAGGCGGGUAUUUAAGUCAGGGGUGAAAUCCCAGAGCUCAACUCUGGAACUGCCUUUGAUACUGGGUACCUAGAGUAUGGAAGAGGUAAGUGGAAUUCC